Molecule: long non-coding RNA, 1805 nt
Organism: Apis cerana (Asiatic honeybee)
Lineage: Eukaryota; Metazoa; Arthropoda; Insecta; Hymenoptera; Apidae
Source: RefSeq, a predicted model, not a curated record
CGACAACCCGGUCCUAGGAGAGUCAUUCUUGUGGUUUCGACCAACCUCUCGAAGUGUUUCAACGCGGAGAACGCCGUGCUGCUGUCCCAAUCCUCCUGCUGUGGACUCUGAAAAUUAAUAAUCGAGAUCAGCCCAGAAAAAAUGUUUUAAAAAAAGAAGAGGAGAAGGAAGAAGAAGAAGAAGAGGAAGAGGAAGAGCAGGAGGAUCGUUUCAAGCUUGAUCAUGCACGUGAUAAACAAUCUCUGUGUUUACAGGGAGAUAUCGAGAUACCACGUGGAGCUUUAAUGGCACGCCAUAACUAAAUAUAGAGGCUUGGUCUAAGGUCAGCAUAGAUACCGAUCCCAUUUAACCAAGGGUGCAUUCAGUAAUAACUGAACGUAAUAAGAACUUCGUAAUUAAUCAUCGGAGCAAGGAACUGCGACUGACACACAUAAUUUGAGGUCAACGUAACCACCCAUCCUCAAUUUUCACGAAAUUGAUUAGAUAGGAUUUUCACCUCGUCUACAUCGAAACUUAAUAAUGGACAGUUUGUUACCUUGAAAAACCUUUAUAUAAAAUCACAAUAAAAAAGACAAGAAAUUUUGGAAAUUUCAAGUUUUGACAAUGGCGUUUCUUAUACGCCUGACCACCUAUUGAUCUAUUCUACUUAAACAAGUCAAGGAAAACUUAGAAUAAUUUGUAUCCAUCUCAGAAUAUUUCCAACCAUUUACCUGGGAAUUGGAGUAAGACUGGGACUCGCUGCAAUCGAGGACACCGUCUUUGACCACGUAAUGUAUCAAGUCCAUGGCCCUUCGCAUCUGGCAGAAAACGGUGUCUCUGUUCUCUCUGGCAGACGGACACUCCGGAUGCCUAAGGCAGGUUUUGCUGGACGUGAGCAGCAUCAUGGUACUCCUCUCCAAAACUUGGCGAGCCGCUGCCAUCUGCGCCCUUCGCCUCUCGUCUUUCAAGUCAUUCUGAAAUUUCCAAACGUUCCCUCCAUUCAUUCCUGGCCCACGUGUUGCUAUUUGCCCCUUGCAUUCGCGACAUCGUAAACGUAAUUCCGGUGAUUACUAAGGGAAAUCGAACCGAGGUCAACCACCUCUUGAUGGCGACGUAUAUUAAGAUAAGAUGGAUAAAUUUUAUAGGUAAUAAUAGAUCGAUACAUCUUAAUUGUCACUAACAAUUUUCUAAUUGAUUUGUUUAUGAACGUGUUAUUAACCGAUUUGAAAUCUGCGUGAAAGCCUAUGAAAUGAAAAAAGUGAAGAAAGAAGGAAUAACACGAACUUCAUCUGAUCAUCAAAAUAAAGUUUCAAUUAUUCUAUCUGGUAAUUCUUAUAAUUGUAUUACAAUAUUGCGUUACAUUUCUAUUUUUAAAGUAUCUAGUAUUUGAAUAGUAUCGGGCAGCACUUGUUUUAGCACAGAGUUUCAAAUUUUAUCUCUGAACUCGUUCAAUAUUAAAUAUUAUCCUUUUUUAAUCGCGUCUCCUUCACGAAGGGAGCAUUGAUUUAUCUCUAUUUAGAUUGUUCUAUUAGCAAUAGGAUACGAGUGGGGGGACGUUGAAAGCCGUGCAAAAUAGAAUGGUAACGUAUGAACUCGGAAUACUAAUUACAAAGCUGUCAAGAACCAUGAUUCACGUUAAAUGAGUCGAAUGAGGAUUAAUGUAGAUGCCUGAAUCAAUCUCUGUCUCGAUUGUACUCCGAUUUCAUCAUGACUGGACUAAUACAAACGCAUUAAUAUUAUUCUCGAGAUUGCGAUGCGUGACUCAAACUGUGAAUAUAAAAAGAAAAGAAUCAAUUUUAACAUACAAUAAAAAUAAACUAUUCAAC